GUUAGUUGGUGAUUGUGAUUGGUUAAAGA
This 29-nucleotide non-coding RNA is filed under the name Cricetulus griseus (Chinese hamster). Lineage: Eukaryota; Metazoa; Chordata; Mammalia; Rodentia; Cricetidae. The record is from RNAcentral.